AUUUUAUAUAUAUUAACAUAAUUUAUAUUUCUUACUUAUUGGAUUUCAAAACCGAAGCAAGAUUUCAAAACAUAAUAGUAAGCUUUCAUUGUGAUUUUAAAGAGAUUAUUUUAGAAACAAGAUUUCGAAAAUGUCUACAAGCUUUCGAUCAGGAUUCCGAUUCUGAAGCAGGAAGUGACCGUCGGAUGAAGUUGUCAUGCUAUCUAGCUAUGUAUACUAUAUAUGAUUUACCUAGUUAAACUUAAAGUUUUGACAACCCUAAAGUUAGAUAGUUUCAGGCCUCAAGCCGGUUUAACAAAAUAUUAAUUCCUUUCUUUCAUUAAUGUUUAC
Molecule: long non-coding RNA, 330 nt
Filed under: Brassica napus (rape)
Lineage: Eukaryota; Viridiplantae; Streptophyta; Magnoliopsida; Brassicales; Brassicaceae
Description: long non-coding RNA (BNAP_LNC012098)
Source: RNAcentral